This 944-nucleotide ribosomal RNA is filed under the name uncultured organism. RNAcentral describes it as "bacterial SSU rRNA". It matches the Rfam family "Bacterial small subunit ribosomal RNA", at positions 469 to 1411 of the family's 1533-position model. The record is from RNAcentral.
UUGACGGUACCCUACUAGAAAGGAGCCGCUAACUUCGUGUCAGAAGCGUCGGUAAUACGGGGGCUCCAAGCGUUAUCCGGUGUUAUUGGGCGUAAAGAGUCGUGUAGGUGGUUGGGUAAGUUAUCUUUCAAAUAUCUUUGCUUAACAAAGAGGAGGGGGAUAAUACUGCUCGACUAGAAUUUUCUCAAGGGAGAUCGGAACUGAGGGAGGAGUAGUGAAAUGCGUUGAUACCCUCGGGAACACCAGUGGCGUAGGCGGAUCUCUGGGAGAAGAUUGACACUGAGACACGAAAGCUAGGGGAGCGAAGCAGAUUAGAGACCUGCGUAGUCCUAGCCGUAAACGCAUGCUUGCUAGCUGCAUGAAUCUACCUUCGGGUGGUAUCGUGUGGCGAAGGUAACCCGUUAAGCAAGCCGCCUGGAAAGUACGGCCGCAAGGCUGAAAUUCAAAGGAAUUGGCGGGGAGGCACACAACCAGUGGAACAUGUGGUUUAAUUCGAGACUAACCGAAGAACCUCACCAGGGUUUGACAUGUAGCUGCACGUCUUAAGAAAUUAAGACUCUCUUGAAGGUGCUACACAGGUGCUGCAUGGCUGUCGUCAGCUCGUUCCGUGAGGAGUGCCCUUAAGUGGGACAACGAGCGCAACCCCUAUUACAUGUUAGAAAUGUCAUGUAAGACUGCCUUGCCAUUUGGCGGGGAGGAAGGAGGGGCAGACGUCAAGUCCGCAUGGUCCUUAUGCCCUGGGCUACACACAUGUUACAAUGAGUACGGCAAUGAGUCUGUCGCGAGCACGUAAGUGUAAGCUAAUCUCUUAAAUGUACUCUCAGUGGGGAUUGAGGUCUGCAACUCGACCUCAUGAACACGGAAUUGGUAGUAAUCGCGGGUCAGCUAUACCGCGGUGAUACGUUCUUGCCUCUUGCACACACCGCCCGUCAAACCAGCAAAGU